GGUAGAAAAUUCUGGUUGUGUUCUCACACUGCUGUACACAAAAAGGAAGAAUGAACCUACUCCAUGUACACAUCACCUAACUCUAUGUCCUGUGCUCAGUCUCUGGGUCUGGAUUAUGCAUGGGAAGAUGUGG
This is a small nucleolar RNA of Cricetulus griseus (Chinese hamster), 133 nucleotides long. Lineage: Eukaryota; Metazoa; Chordata; Mammalia; Rodentia; Cricetidae. The record is from Ensembl.